Molecule: long non-coding RNA, 843 nt
Filed under: Carica papaya (papaya)
Lineage: Eukaryota; Viridiplantae; Streptophyta; Magnoliopsida; Brassicales; Caricaceae
Description: long non-coding RNA (CPAP_LNC005972)
Source: RNAcentral
UUCUGCAUCUACCGAGAUGGUUGGCCCUAGAUUUUGCUGUUUAGUUUCAUAAUCUAUAUAUAGAGUUCAAUCAAGACUGGUUACAUAUGUAUAUAUAACAGCAUAUACGACUAUAUGUACAUCAAUCUACGUUAAACCCUUUUUAGCAUGUAUCAAGUUGGUUUUAUUGACUGACCAUGAUCAUUUUGUCAAUUAUGCAAUCAAUAUACGUAUAUAAUAAGAUACACAAAUACUAAACAGACUAACCUUGUGCACUAGCUGAUCCAAUUAGUACUGUGAAGCAAAGAAUCAAACACUUGACAGGUCUCAGAAUCAAAGAAACCAAUCCCCCCCUCAUCAUUUCAUUUUAAAUGGAAGCCGCCCCAUCGGAGAAAACCAUGCAGAUUCUCAGACCAAAACCAGUUUAUUUUAACUCACAAUAAUUCCUCUUGUAAUGACUCCCGUCUUCCCUAUCAACCCACAGUUGCCAAUCAACCAGCGCGUAAACUCAAACUCUCCACCAUUUUUAAGCUCCAAAACAGGGUUCUUCAAUGAAUUUUUGCACUGAUAAUUAAAAGAGUAGCAGGCUUGGAGACGGAGUAGUAGUUGGUGGGAUGGGUUUGACUUUCAGAUUUUGGAAACGGCAGGGAGAGGAAGAUGAGAAAGAGGAGGAUGAUUGAAUAAUUAGCGACAAACCAAGAGUUUGAUUAAUCAUUUUAUGUUUUAAAAAUCUGGUAUUAAACUAAAUUGAAUUAAUUAGAAUAAUUUAGUUUUUUGAUUUGGUGGUGGGAGGGUCUUAAAUUUGUAAUUUUAAAUUUUGAUUUUGUAAUAUAAUAGUUGGAGCAAAACAGCCCAUCAUCUUCG